This is a long non-coding RNA of Dermacentor silvarum, 3335 nucleotides long. RefSeq lists it as uncharacterized. NCBI's taxonomy places the organism in Eukaryota, Metazoa, Arthropoda, Arachnida, Ixodida, Ixodidae. The transcript is spliced from 7 exons. The record is from RefSeq and is a predicted model, not a curated record.
GCCUGCUCGAGUUGCUCGGCCGCCGUCCCGGCGUGCCCCCGCGUUUCUCGCGUGCCCGGCGUGGCAUCCAUGACCGCCACGCUGAUACAGCAAUUGGUGACGAGGACAAUCGACAUGCAUCGCAGCCAAAUGUAAGUCGUCGACUGUGAGCUUACGUCUGCGGCAAGCCCUUUCGCCGUACUUCUGCCUGCACCAUUAUUUUACGGAUCCUCCGUCGUCUUUUUCGGCAAACCUGCCUUCAACAAGCCUUCUCCGGCGUCUUGCAUUCGCCUCUUCUCCUGCCUCAGGUCCUGCCUCGAUAUGAACGCCGCUAUUCCUCCUCCUCCCUUCCAUCAGUGCCCCGACAUGCAGUAAUUCCCUGGCGUGAUUGGCGUCGCGUCUUGCAAGUGUAUAUCGACGCCGCCGCCAGGGACGCCACGCCGGCGCACAAGGAGCUCCUGCUGAAUGCCUUGGGAGUGGAGGGCGUCCGGAUAUACUUCGCCGCUGUUGAACACCAGACGCAGGCCGGCACUGACGGAGAACCAGUGACGCCGAGGCAGUCGACGUACUUGAGGAGGCCCUAACGGUACUCGGCAGGUGUUUUGCGUCGGAAGAAGACGAAGUCGUCGAAACGACUACAAUUCAAGAGGAGGACGCAACAUGUGGAGGAAUCUACGACAUUUCUAAAAGACCUCCACAGGCUUGCAAGAGCGUGCGGGUUCAGGACAGCAAUGGACGCUUUGUUCAAGGACCAAGUUCUCGGCGGACUACUGUCCAACCCACUACGCCGCAAAUUCAUUCAGAUGGAUUAACGAGUUCACCUUUCAAAAGGCCUUGGAAAUUGCAACAGAAGAAGAACGCACGCACAAGUUGAUGCAAGAACUCGGCGUUCUUCAAGUAGACGCGGUAGUACAUCAACAAGGACCGCAACAAGCUCGACACGAUGAGCGUCGCCUGCGACGAGACAUGCAAGAUGGCGGCCUUCCCCCCCCCCCCCCCAGCCGGGUCAAUGGCAAGAUGGCGGCAACUGGUCCAGCCUACCUCCUCAGCCGGGUCAAGAUGGCGGCCAAGGUCGCGACCUUCCCCGACCGAGCCGAGGUCAGGAUGGCGCACGGCGAGAGCGAGAUGGGUCUCCCCAUCAGGGUAGAAGGCAACCGGGUGCCGCUCCUCCCUCCGCAUCGUCGUCGCCUCCGGCCGGCGUCUGCUUCCGUUGCGGAUCGCCACAUCACUGGGCAAAUUUUCUGGGUUGUCCAGCACGUCGCAGGUUCUGCCAGACUUGCGGAAUGAAAGGACAUUUUUUCCAAAUGUGCCGUUCUGCUGAAGGUACCCCAAGAGUCGUUGACACGGUUGAGACGCGGGCCAGCGCGGUUGCGCAUACUGCGACCGUCCUACAUAUGGAAGACGCUGUCGGCGCCCUGGCCCUCUUGCGCGUUCCCGUGCUCGUCAUCGACGUGGUGUUGCCACUUAUGAUUGACUCCGGGGCAGCGGUGUCCCUAAUGCAUCUUGGACACUACCACCAGUACUUCACGCGCAUUCCACUUUAACCGUCCCAUCUGGUUCCCAAAAUUACUUGGAGCAAGUGGUAAAGAUUUUGGUAUCAUUCAAGGCGGAAGUACGUUUACAGGGCAAGUGCACCUGUUACGUUUUAGGUGACGGUUUACGUGACGGAAAGAGGCUCGUCACUACUUGGGCUCGAUGCCAUUAAGGCAUUGAAGAUCAUCAUUGACGGCGAAGCCUUAUCAGUUACCGAGGUCUCGUCCAGCCCAGUGGUCUCAGGGCGUUACGUCGCGUCGGACUGAUGCGAACUCGUACGGCACAGCAGGACUUUGCAACCGCGCCGCAGGCCAACCUCCGUUCGACGUUGCGGCCAGCGAGUGUGAACCUGUGCCGAGUAGUAGAGCCUCCUGAUUCUGCGGACUUGCACAGUGCAGCGGACCAUGCGACUGCUCCCCGCCCUCCUUCAUUGCCAACGUGCGUCUCCCCGAAGCAAGCAUCACAAGCUCCGCGGACAAAACAGCUGUUCCGGCUGGUACUUCAGUCGCAUGGCCUGCUCAUCUUUGUCAUCGCCUUGCUGCUGGCCGCAGUCGUGCCCCUCUGCUUGCACGUGUUCACUGCACUCCUGUCCAGCUGUUCCGGCUGGUACUUCAGUCGCAUGGCCUUCUCAUCUUUGUCAUCGCCUUGCUGCUGGCCGCAGUCGUGCCCCUCUGCUUGCACGUGUUCACUGCACUCCUGUCCAGCUGUUCCGGCUGGUACUUCAGUCGCAUGGCCUGCUCAUCUUUGUCAUCGCCUUGCUGCUGGCCGCAGUCGUGCCCCUCUGCUUGCACGUGUUCACUGCACUCCUGUCCAGCUGUUCCGGCUGGUACUUCAGUCGCAUGGCCUGCUCAUCUUUGUCAUCACCUUGCUGCUGGCCGCAGUCGUGCCCCUCGUUGGCUUGGCUGUUCUCCGGAAGCAGUGCACGAAUAAGCCAGUUUAUGAAGAGCCGCACUCCGCCAGACAGAUUCCACGGACAAGUCGGGUCUUCUGGAUUCUGAUCGUCUCCCUUGCACUCGUGACAGGGCGUAUUUCUAACGAUGCACCCUGCGUACGUGGCAUUGGGGCCGCGCCAAGAAGAUGGCGCGCUUCCUAGCGGAGACUCUGCCUGGUGUUUUAGCAAGCCUAUGAAGGUACCUCUACUGCGAUGCCAUCACGCUAGAGGCAGACACCGUCCUGACCACACUGUACGCAGCCAAUAAAUAUGUCACGCUAGAAGAAGACACCGUCCUGGCCACACUGUACGCAGCCAAGAAAUAUCUGAUCCCCCAUCUGGCCCGGGCCUGCAUUGCCUACUUAGAGACCAGUGUCACCGCUCAAAAGGCCUGCGUCCUUCUCAGCCAGAGCCACCUCUUUAUUUAAUGCUAAAGCGUCCGAUGACCCAUUCAGCGAAAAAGCCGGAGUCUGUCGUCUGUGAUAUCGAAAACGCAGGUCGAUACAGCGAAGAGUCAGUUCACUGCUCUUGAAACGGCAAAGCGCGAUGCACAGGGGCAACUACAAAAACCAGGGAUGCUGUUCCACCUUCACUCUCAUGGCCUGUUCAUCUUUGUCAUCACCUCGCUGCGUCUGGCCGCGGUUUUGCCACUCGUCGGAUUGGCUCUUCUCUGCAAGCGAUUGCACGGAGAAGCUCCUCGGAAAACCGCAUUCCAGCAGCCAGGCAGAUUCCACGGACAAGUCGGGUCUCGUGUUCUCGAUUCUGAUCGUAUCCCUUGCUCUGAUGACACGGUGCAUUUAUCACGAUGCAUCAUGCUUCCGUGGCACUAUGAAGCACAGAAGAAGCAAGCGCAGUACCUAACCGAGACUAUGCCUGGUGUCUCGAGCAAGCC